GGGGCUAUAGCGCAGCUGGGAGCGCGUCUGACUGGCAGUCAGAAGGUCAGGGGUUCGACUCCCCUUAGCUCCA
Molecule: transfer RNA, 73 nt
Filed under: Candidatus Delongbacteria bacterium
Lineage: Bacteria; Candidatus Delongiibacteriota
Description: tRNA-Ala
Rfam family: tRNA
About the family: Transfer RNA (tRNA) molecules are approximately 80 nucleotides in length. Their secondary structure includes four short double-helical elements and three loops (D, anti-codon, and T loops). Further hydrogen bonds mediate the characteristic L-shaped molecular structure. tRNAs have two regions of fundamental functional importance: the anti-codon, which is responsible for specific mRNA codon recognition, and the 3' end, to which the tRNAs corresponding amino acid is attached (by aminoacyl-tRNA synthetases). tRNAs cope with the degeneracy of the genetic code in two manners: having more than one tRNA (with a specific anti-codon) for a particular amino acid; and 'wobble' base-pairing, i.e. permitting non-standard base-pairing at the 3rd anti-codon position.
Source: RNAcentral